Molecule: ribosomal RNA, 253 nt
Filed under: uncultured bacterium
Lineage: Bacteria
Description: partial 16S ribosomal RNA
Rfam family: Bacterial small subunit ribosomal RNA
Source: RNAcentral
UACGUAGGGUGCGAGCGUUAAUCGGAAUUACUGGGCGUAAAGCGUGCGCAGGCGGUUCGUUGUGUCUGAUGUGAAAGCCCCGGGCUCAACCUGGGAAUGGCAUUGGAAACUGGCGAGCUGGAGUGUGGCAGAGGGGGGUGGAAUUCCCAGUGUAGAGGUGAAAUUCGUAGAUAUUGGGAAGAACACCGGUGGCGAAGGCGGCGCUCUGGACCGAGACUGACGCUGAGGCGCGAAAGCGUGGGGAGCAAACAGG